UAUAUUUGGCCUGAAAUUGGUUCAGCCUGCCAACAGCAGGCCGAUUAAAAGGGAACCUGGUGUAAAUCCGGGACUAUCCCCGUAGCUGUAAAUUUCCAUCCAAUUGUUCAGUCCCGCAGCCACUGUGCAUCGCAGCUUUCGCUAAGGUUCAUGGGAAGGCGCUGAAUAAGGAAAUAAGUCAGAAGACCUGCCAGUUCAUAUUUCGUCAC
Molecule: non-coding RNA, 209 nt
Filed under: Flavihumibacter sp.
Lineage: Bacteria; Pseudomonadati; Bacteroidota; Chitinophagia; Chitinophagales; Chitinophagaceae
Source: RNAcentral